Molecule: ribosomal RNA, 251 nt
Filed under: uncultured bacterium
Lineage: Bacteria
Description: partial 16S ribosomal RNA
Rfam family: Bacterial small subunit ribosomal RNA
Source: RNAcentral
UACGUAGGGUCCGAGCGUUGUCCGGAAUUACUGGGCGUAAAGAGCUCGUAGGUGGUUUGUCGCGUUGUUCGUGAAAACUCACAGCUCAACUGUGGGCGUGCGGGCGAUACGGGCAGACUAGAGUACUGCAGGGAGACUGGAAUUCCUGGUGUAGCGGUGGAAUGCGCAGAUAUCAGGAGGAACACCGGUGGCGAAGGCGGGUCUCUGGGCAGUAACUGACGCUGAGGAGCGAAAGCGUGGGAGCGAACAGG